RNAcentral lists this ribosomal RNA (327 nucleotides) under uncultured eukaryote. RNAcentral describes it as "partial 18S ribosomal RNA". It matches the Rfam family "Eukaryotic small subunit ribosomal RNA", at positions 1470 to 1796 of the family's 1831-position model. The record is from RNAcentral.
CCCUUAGAUGUUCUGGGCCGCACGCGCGCUACACUGACGAAUGCAACGAGCUUAUAACCUUGGCCGAAAGGUCUGGGUAAUCUCCAAAUUUCGUCGUGAUGGGGAUAGAUUAUUGCAAUUAUUAAUCUUCAACGAGGAAUGCCUAGUAAGCACAAGUCAUCAGCUUGCGUUGAUUACGUCCCUGCCCUUUGUACACACCGCCCGUCGCUCCUACCGAUUGAAUGGUCCGGUGAAGCGUUCGGACCGUGGCCUUUGGACGGUUCGCCGUCUGUUGGCUGCGGGAAGUUCGUUAAACCUUAUCAUUUAGAGGAAGGAGAAGUCGUAACA